AAAACUAUAAAUGAAUGAUUCAUAUUAUAUAUAAAUGGGUAACAAGUGAAAUUACAUAAUCAAGAUCAAUAUUAUUUGUAUUUGGCAUAUUCACAUUGUAAUAUGGUAUAUUAUAUGUAAUUAAAUUCAAUAAUUUUCUUUUCCAUCACCAAAUUUUAGGUUUCUUCAUCACUAAGUAACAAAGUUAAACCACUAUAAAUUAAUGAUUCAUAUUAUAUAUAAAUGGUUAACAACUGAAAUUACAUAAUAAAGCUCAAUAUUAUUUUUAUUCCUUAUAUUCACAUUAUAUUAUGGUAUAUUAUAUGUUAAAAAGAAUUUAAUAUUUUUUUUCUCCAUCACCAAAUUUUAGGUUUCUUCAUUACUAAGCAACAAAGUUAAAAAAACUAUAAAUGAAUGAUUCAUAUUAUAUAUAAAUAGGUAACAAGU
RNAcentral lists this long non-coding RNA (426 nucleotides) under Lathyrus oleraceus (garden pea). Its description in RNAcentral is "Pisum sativum (pea) long non-coding RNA (PSAT_LNC040151)". Lineage: Eukaryota; Viridiplantae; Streptophyta; Magnoliopsida; Fabales; Fabaceae. The record is from RNAcentral.